Molecule: ribosomal RNA, 392 nt
Filed under: uncultured bacterium
Lineage: Bacteria
Description: bacterial SSU rRNA
Rfam family: Bacterial small subunit ribosomal RNA
Source: RNAcentral
AGCGAACGUUAGCGGCGCGCCUAACACAUGCAAGUCGCACGAGAAAGGGAGCAAUCCCCGGUACAGUGGCGCACGGGUGAGUAACACGUAGAUGACCUUCCCUGGAGUGGUGGAUAACCUGCCGAAAGGCGGGCUAAUACAGCAUGGGACCACAUGGUUUUGACCGAGUGGUGAAAGCGGGCCUCUGUUCACAAGCUCGCGCUCUGGGAUGGGUCUGCGUCCCAUCAGCUAGUUGGUGAGGUAAUGGCUCACCAAGGCAUCGACGGGUAGCUGGUCUGAGAGGAUGACCAGCCACACUGGAACUGAGACACGGUCCAGACUCCUACGGGAGGCAGCAGUGGGGAAUCUUGCGCAAUGGGCGAAAGCCUGACGCAGCGACGCCGCGUGGGUGA